AUCACUUCUCAGUCUUUUGGCUAAGAUCAAGUGUAGUAUCUGUUCUUAUCAGUUUAUAUAUUGUGAAAAAUUUAUUUCUAAUGACAAAUCAAUGAAUUGUUGUCUUGAAGCAUGGUGUAGCAUGGGUAACAGUCUUCAUACCGGGUACUUGUAGGUGGGCGUAUCUGCAUGUGGGCGGACCCACC
Small nuclear RNA from Echinops telfairi (small Madagascar hedgehog), 185 nucleotides. Its record names the gene U2. It matches the Rfam family "U2 spliceosomal RNA". From Rfam's summary of the family: U2 is a small nuclear RNA (snRNA) component of the spliceosome (involved in pre-mRNA splicing). Complementary binding between U2 snRNA (in an area lying towards the 5' end but 3' to hairpin I) and the branchpoint sequence (BPS) of the intron results the bulging out of an unpaired adenosine, on the BPS, which initiates a nucleophilic attack at the intronic 5' splice site, thus starting the first of two transesterification reactions that mediate splicing. NCBI's taxonomy places the organism in Eukaryota, Metazoa, Chordata, Mammalia, Afrosoricida, Tenrecidae. The record is from Ensembl.